Molecule: ribosomal RNA, 492 nt
Filed under: Triticum aestivum (bread wheat)
Lineage: Eukaryota; Viridiplantae; Streptophyta; Magnoliopsida; Poales; Poaceae
Description: partial small subunit ribosomal RNA
Source: RNAcentral
AUGCCGACGCCGCCGCGCGACCAGCAGCAGACGCUGCGCCGGAGCCGCUCCGCCAGCUCCGCGGAGGGCUGGUCCUCGCCCACGCCGUGCUGCUUCGGUGACGCGCCGCGGCGCAGGGUGGUCAGGACCACGUCGGCGUCGUUCCGGGACCGGCCCACGUACCUGAGGCGGGAGAACGACGAGUUCCUGCUCCUCAGCUUCAGCCCGGACGACGACGGCGGCGACGACCGCGACGCGGCAGGGUGGCCCAGAAGCGACGACGACGACGCGGAGAUGGCCGGGAGCAGGCGCGGCAAGAGGACGGUGGACGGCGACGGGGCCAAGAAACAGAGGCGGAGGCGAAGAAGGCUCCCGCGGCGGCGGCGCGGCGACGAGGACGCGGAGUCAAAGCCUGGCCGGAGCAGGAGGCCGGCCGCGGCGGCGGAGGAAUGCGGCCUGGAGAACUCGAGCCCGGUGUCGGUGCUGCAAAAAACAUGCCACGUCAGCACCUGA